Molecule: long non-coding RNA, 309 nt
Organism: Micropterus dolomieu (smallmouth bass)
Lineage: Eukaryota; Metazoa; Chordata; Actinopteri; Centrarchiformes; Centrarchidae
Exons: 3
Source: RefSeq, a predicted model, not a curated record
AUGCUUUCCAUGCUUUCAUGUUAUAAAAGUGGGGAAUUUAGGAAAACAACUUUUCUAAAUGGACAUUGUUUGUUUUUCCUUUUCUUCUGUUCCCUUCUUCACUCUAGGAAAUGUAAAGUCUUGGAAGACACGUGAUCUCUAGUGACAAACUGAAAGGGAGUAAUUUACUGUUCAAGUGUCGAGUGUGAUCGUAACACAGGAGUUAAUGAACAAAAUGCUUUAAGGAAUGAAUGUGAUCCUGGAAGAAAACUGAGGUAAGACGUUGCAUGUUCUUGCGUGAAUAACUCCACAGAACCCCCAAGUGCAGAA